Molecule: long non-coding RNA, 1129 nt
Organism: Amphimedon queenslandica
Lineage: Eukaryota; Metazoa; Porifera; Demospongiae; Haplosclerida; Niphatidae
Exons: 10
Source: RefSeq, a predicted model, not a curated record
UGUCACUCCUGGAAGCUUAGUCAAGAACUGGCAGAAAGAGUUUCAGAAGUGGUUAGGUCAUGAGAGACUGAAAGUGUAUGCAGCAUCAACUGACAACAGACCAGAAGAGUUUGUCAAGUCUCCAGUGUAUCCAGUGCUGUUAAUUAGUUAUGAAUUAUUCAUAAAGUGUUACGGGAGUUUGGCUAAAGUUAACUUUGAUAUGAUAGUCUGUGAUGAAGGACACAGACUCAAGAACACCAACAUAAAGACAUUCAGUUUAUUAUAAAAGUUACCAACUUCAAGGAGGAUAGUGCUUAGUGGCACUCCAGUACAAAAUGAUUUGAUGGAGUUUUAUGCUAUAACAGAGUUUUGUAAUCCUGGAUUAUUAGGAUCACAGUCAGCUUAUAGGAAGGUUUAUGAAGAGUCAAUUGUAGCAUCAAGACAAGUAGAGGCCACAGAGACAGAACAGGAGAUAGGACAAAGAAGAGCACAGGAAUUGAUGAGGCUUAUUAGUAUGUUUUAUUUAAGAAGAACACAAGAAAUAAAUAAGAAAUAUUUACCCCCGAAAGUCUCAGUUGUAUGAAGGUAUAAAGAGGUAUUAUCCUGAAGACUAUGACCCCACUGAAUGUAAGAUGGAAUAUUCUGGCAAACUCUGGGUCCUUGCAGCAAUGCUAGAGUACCUCCACUCAACCACUGGAGAGAAAGUACUCAGGUGUGUCUACGUAGCAGUCAAAAUGGCAGUUAGUUUCCUUAACCACGGAUCUUUGAUGGUCUUUUUAGUCCUUCUAGCAAUAGCAGAUGAUGAAAACAUCAAUAGAAAAGGUGAUGAAGACAUUAGCCUUUCAAUGAUUCAACAUUUAAGUACAGGAUACAUGAAAAACUUUAGAUAUUUUGGAGAGCAUGUGUAAGCUGUUCAGUUAUUCCUUCCUGAGGCUUGAUGGCCAGACACCGUCUAAUAAGAGACAGAGCAUAGUGGAAAGAUUUAAUAAUAAGCAACUGAAAGACUGUAAGUUGAAAUGUAACUUAAUUAAUAAUUAUAAGAAAAAAUUAUUAUUGGGCAAAGCCCUUGCUUACAGGAAUUUCUGUCUUGUAUGUACGUACAUUUGGGUGUGACUGGGAGGUGUGGUCAGGAGGUGGAGUCCCUCAAUGU